UGUUGCUGUGUGUUCUGUUAGUGUGUUUGUGUAUGGAGUCUAACUUUUGUUUCUGUGUUCCAGUUUUUGAGAUCCUCUUCUGGAAUUAGUUUUUGCCUGUUGCAUUCUGGACUCUGUUGGAGUGAAGUCUGGUGUGCAGGAGUCAGGGUUCCAGCUGCAUCUCAUUUACCUCAAUCAACCUCUGCUUCAUAUACCCGGUCAACCCUCCUCUCUGCAUCAGACCAUAGUCAAGAUGACCACACUACUAUUAGAACCUGACUCCUGCUACCGCUUCACUGCUGCCAUCCACCGGACCAUCCAACCACCACUGGACCUCACCACUAGCCGACCACUGGAUUACUCUGACGGAACCACUCCUGCUCGGAACCCAUUGGACCUGUUCGCCUCUCUGGAAACCUGGACUUGCUUUUCCCCUUUCUGCAA
This is a long non-coding RNA of Perca fluviatilis (European perch), 423 nucleotides long. RefSeq lists it as uncharacterized. Lineage: Eukaryota; Metazoa; Chordata; Actinopteri; Perciformes; Percidae. The transcript has 3 exons. The record is from RefSeq and is a predicted model, not a curated record.